Gigantopelta aegis is the source of this 443-nucleotide long non-coding RNA. RefSeq lists it as uncharacterized. The transcript has 3 exons. The record is from RefSeq and is a predicted model, not a curated record. Lineage: Eukaryota; Metazoa; Mollusca; Gastropoda; Neomphalida; Peltospiridae.
UGUCCCUUUAAUAUAACAUCCACUUGCAACAUAUUUGAUGAUAUUUAAUGCUGCUGUAUUGAUGUAUUACACAUAGGUUGCCUAUUUGAAUUCUUUGGACGCAUAACAGCAAAGGAUGUAAUUGAAAGAAUGAUGGAGUGCAUAUUCACCCUGCCCUUCGCUUGUCAGUACAAAUGGGUUGGCAGGAGAGAAAAAAUGGCAUCAGGAAAUUAAUUCUCAGAAAGGUGAUAAAAGAUGCUGCCAAAAACAGCAACAUAAAAGAGGCAGGAGUGGAACUGCAUCUUAGAAAUUGGUUAAGAUAUGCAUCGGAUCGAAUUAGGGGCCAAAGGAACACUUGAGGAGAGGCAACGUGCGAGGCCAGCAGCCACUGAGACAUAGUCGGAAUCCGAAAAAGAUGAUGAACAAGAUUGAUAUUUAGUUUGAUAAUAAAUGUUAAAACUGUG